AAUGGGCGAAAGCCUGACGGAGCAACGCCGCGUGAGGGACGAAGGCCUCUGGGCUGUAAACCUCUUUUCUCAAGGAAGAAGAUAUGACGGUACUUGAGGAAUAAGCCACGGCUAAUUCCGUGCCAGCAGCCGCGGUAAUACGGGAGUGGCAAGCGUUAUCCGGAAUUAUUGGGCGUAAAGCGUCCGCAGGCGGCCUUUCAAGUCUGCUGUUAAAGCGUGGAGCUUAACUCCAUUAUGGCAGUGGAAACUGAUCGGCUUGAGUAUGGUAGGGGCAGAGGGAAUUCCCGGUGUAGCGGUGAAAUGCGUAGAUAUCGGGAAGAACACCAGUGGCGAAGGCGCUCUGCUGGGCCAUUACUGACGCUCAUGGACGAAAGCCAGGGGAGCGAAAGGGAUU
This 394-nucleotide ribosomal RNA is filed under the name uncultured Gammaproteobacteria bacterium. RNAcentral's name for it is "bacterial SSU rRNA". It matches the Rfam family "Bacterial small subunit ribosomal RNA", at positions 370 to 779 of the family's 1533-position model. Lineage: Bacteria; Pseudomonadati; Pseudomonadota; Gammaproteobacteria. The record is from RNAcentral.